Molecule: small RNA, 659 nt
Filed under: uncultured fungus
Lineage: Eukaryota; Fungi
Description: eukaryotic LSU rRNA
Rfam family: 5.8S ribosomal RNA (bases 223-377)
Source: RNAcentral
AGUGACUGCGGAGGAUCAUUAUCGAACCGUCGACACGAGUUGUUGCUGGUCCCUCAAAAGNNNACACGUGCACGCUCUGUUUGCACAUCCACUCACACCUGUGCACCCUCUGUAGUUCUGUGGCCUCAAGGGUUCUGCCCUCACGCCGUGGUCCUACGUCUUUACACACACGCCGUANCGAAGUCUCAUGGAAUGUAUGUCGCGUUUAACGCAUUACAAUACAACUUUCAGCAACGGAUCUCUUGGCUCUCGCAUCGAUGAAGAACGCAGCGAAAUGCGAUAAGUAAUGUGAAUUGCAGAAUUCAGUGAAUCAUCGAAUCUUUGAACGCACCUUGCGCCCUUUGGCCAUUCCGAAGGGCAUGCCUGUUUGAGUAUCGUGAACACCUCAACUCUCAUGGCCUGCCAUGAUGAGCUUGGACUUUGGGGGUCUUGCNGGCGCACCGUCGGCUCCUCUCAAACGAAUCAGCUUGCCAGUGUUUGGUGGCAUCACGGGUGUGAUAACUAUCUACGCUCAUGGUCGUCUGCCGAGCAACCUCCAGCGAUGGAGGUUCGCUGGAGCUUACAAAUGUCUCUCCUCAGCGAGGACAGCUUUAUGAACGUUUGAUCUCAAAUCAGGUANGACUACCCGCUGAACUUAAGCAUAUCAAUAAGCGGAGGAA